RNAcentral lists this ribosomal RNA (189 nucleotides) under uncultured bacterium. RNAcentral describes it as "partial 16S ribosomal RNA". It matches the Rfam family "Bacterial small subunit ribosomal RNA", at positions 338 to 524 of the family's 1533-position model. The record is from RNAcentral.
CCUACGGGAGGCAGCAGAAUUUUGGACAAUGGGCGCAAGCCUGAUCCAGCAAUGCCGCGUGCAGGAAGAAGGCCUUCGGGUUGUAAACUGCUUUUGUCAGGGAAGAAAUCUUCUGGGUUAAUACCUCGGGAGGAUGACGGUACCUGAAGAAUAAGCACCGGCUAACUACGUGCCAGCAGCCGCGGUAAU